Molecule: ribosomal RNA, 440 nt
Filed under: uncultured bacterium
Lineage: Bacteria
Description: bacterial SSU rRNA
Rfam family: Bacterial small subunit ribosomal RNA
Source: RNAcentral
GAUGAACGCUGGCGGUAUGCCUAACACAUGCAAGUCGUACGAGGGUUUUUAACUCUAGUGGCGGACGGGUGAGUAACACGUGAGAAUUUGCCUUUAGGAGGGGGAUAACAAUCGGAAACGAAUGCUAAUACCCCAUAUGCUUUUGAGUGAAAUGGAUUUAUCCGCCUAAAGAGAAGCUCGCGGCUGAUUAGCUUGUUGGUAAGGUAAGAGCUUACCAAGGCGACGAUCAGUAUCUGGUUUGAGAGGACGAUCAGACACACUGGAACUGAGACACGGUCCAGACUCCUACGGGAGGCAGCAGUGGGGAAUUUUCCGCAAUGGGCGAAAGCCUGACGGAGCAAUACCGCGUGAGGGAAGACUGCCUAUGGGUUGUAAACCUCUUUUUCUAGGGAGGAAUAAAAUGACGUGUACCUGAAGAAUAAGCAUCGGCUAACUCCGUG